GAUGAACGCUGGCGGCGUGCCUAAUACAUGCAAGUCGAGCGAACGGACGAGAAGCUUGCUUCUCUAAUGUUAGCGGCGGACGGGUGAGUAACACGUGGAUAACCUACCUAUAAGACUGGGAUAACUUCGGGAAACCGUAGCUAAUACCGGAUAAUAUUUUGAACCGCAUGGUUCAAAAGUGAAAGACGGUCUUGCUGUCACUUAUAGAUGGAUCCGCGCUGCAUUAGCUAGUUGGUAAGGUAACGGCUUACCAAGGCAACGAUGCAUAGCCGACCUGAGAGGGUGAUCGGCCACACUGGAACUGAGACACGGUCCAGACUCCUACGGGAGGCAGCAGUAGGGAAUCUUCCGCAAUGGGCGAAAGCCUGACGGAGCAACGCCGCGUGAGUGAUGAAGGUCUUCGGAUCGUAAAACUCUGUUAUUAGGGAAGAACAUAUGUGUAAGUAACUAUGCACAUCUUGACGGUACCUAAUCAGAAAGCCACGGCUAACUACGUG
This 497-nucleotide ribosomal RNA is filed under the name uncultured bacterium. Its description in RNAcentral is "partial 16S ribosomal RNA". It matches the Rfam family "Bacterial small subunit ribosomal RNA", at positions 28 to 507 of the family's 1533-position model. The record is from RNAcentral.